RNAcentral lists this long non-coding RNA (1213 nucleotides) under Capsicum annuum. RNAcentral describes it as "long non-coding RNA (CANN_LNC021305)". The record is from RNAcentral. Lineage: Eukaryota; Viridiplantae; Streptophyta; Magnoliopsida; Solanales; Solanaceae.
CACAUUUGGUCGCUUUUUUGCGACCACCCACUAUGAUCGCUUUUUUGUGGUCGCAAAAACAGAUUUUUUUUAGUAGUGAAUGUUUCCGUUUGAUUUCCAUUUUUUCUUCUCUUUCUCUUUAUUUCUUUUGUCUUUUUAAAAUAAGUUUGUGGGAAAAGAGUCGUUUAAGAGUAAAGAAGCAUUAGGAUUGGCUGUAAUUUUAGGAAAAAUGAAGAUUGCUAAAUUUUCAUGGCUAUUCGUCGGAGAAAGUUACAGUCGCGAUAAUUUUUUUUAUCUAUUUAAUUUAUAUUUUAGUUUAAAAAUUGUAAGACUGUAUACAUCAAAAUCUUGUAGAACUCUACAAGAAGAAUUCAAAUUCUAUUAGAUUUCUUGGAGGCUACUCUAUAUCAACCCUAAAUUAUGCCUAUAAAAAGGGUGGCUUACUCUUUUGAAGAAACAUCUUGAAUAUCCCAUAAAUUCAUGGAUAUUGUAAAAAGAUCGGGAUCUCCAAUAUCCCACAAAAUCAUGAGAUAUUCAUAAGGAGAUCAUCCUAAGUUCGAGAAAUACACUACUAAAGGCCCUCGAAUUACGGAGAAAUCAAGAGAGAUGAAUCAACGAAUUAUGGAGAAAUCAAGAGAGAGGAAUCAAGGAGGAACAGAUUUGUACCUACAUCGUUUAUCAAUAAAAAUUCCUAUUUCUUCAUACUUUAUUUGUGAUUGAAAUUUAUUUCUGUCAUUAUAAAUUUUGUUGAAACAAAUUGCCAUGUCCAGUGGGACCAAAUCUGUCCUUCAUCUAUUCUCUCAUAAAUUAGAUCUGCAAAAAUCUCCAAAAAUUUGUAGCCGCAAGACCAUGAAGAUGGAAUCUCUAUGGUUGUUACUUCAAGACUUGUCUUUGGGUUUCAUAAAGUCUACACUCAGACAAAUCUUGAAGUAGGGAGCAUUUGUAGACAUCGAAAUCUUGUAGAACUCUACCAGAAGAAUUCAAAUUCUAUUAGAGUUCUUGGAGGUUACUCUACAUCAACCCUAAAUUAUGCCUAUAAAAAGGGUGGCUUACUUUCUUGAAGAGACAUCUUGAAUAUCCCAUAAAUUCAUGGAUAUUCGUAAAAAUAUUGGGAUCUCCAAUAUCCCACAGAAUCAUGAAAUAUUCAUAAGAGAUCAUCCUACGUUCGAGAAAUACGCUACUAACGAUCCUCGAAUUACGAAAAAAUUAAGAGAGAGGAAUCAACGAAAUACGG